RNAcentral lists this ribosomal RNA (493 nucleotides) under uncultured bacterium. RNAcentral's name for it is "partial 16S ribosomal RNA". It matches the Rfam family "Bacterial small subunit ribosomal RNA", at positions 29 to 507 of the family's 1533-position model. The record is from RNAcentral.
ACGAACGCUGGCGGCGUGCUUAACACAUGCCAGUCGAACGGUGAAGCGCCUUCCUUUUUGGUGGGUGUGGAUGAGUGGCGAACGGGUGAGUAACACGUGAGUAACCUGCCCCCUUCUUCUGGAUAACCGCAUGAAAGUGUGGCUAAUACGGGAUAUUCUGGGUCUGUCGCAUGAUGGGUCUGGGAAAGAUAUUGUUUCGGUGGGGGAUGGGCUCGCGGCCUAUCAGCUUGUUGGUGGGGUGAUGGCCUACCAAGGCGGUGACGGGUAGCCGGCCUGAGAGGGUGGACGGUCACACUGGGACUGAGACACGGCCCAGACUCCUACGGGAGGCAGCAGUGGGGAAUACUGCACAAUGGGCGCAAGCCUGAUGCAGCGACGCCGCGUGAGGGAUGGAGGCCUUCGGGUUGUGAACCUCUUUCGCCAGUGAAGCAGGCCUGCCUCGUUUGUGGGUGGGUUGACGGUAGCUGGAUAAGAAGCGCCGGCUAACUACGUG